CCUACGGGGGGCAGCAGUGAGGAAUAUUGGGCAAUGGGCGGGAGCCUGAACCAGCCAAGCCGCGUGAGGGAAGAAGGUACAGCGUAUCGUAAACCUCUUUUGUCGGGGAACAAAGGCGCGGACUAGUCCCCGGAUGAGGGUACCUGAAGAAAAAGCAUCGGCUAACUCCGUGCCAGCAGCCGCGGUAAUACGGGGGAUGCGAGCGUUAUCCGGAUUUAUUGGGUUUAACGGGUGCGCAGGCGGCCGGUUAAGUCAGCGGGAAAAGCCCGGGGCGCAACCCCGGCGAGCCGUUGAAACUGGCGGGCUGGAGUUGGAGAGAAGUACGCGGAAUGCGCGGUGUAGCGGUGAAAUGCUUAGAUAUCGCGCAGAACCCCGAUUGCGAAGGCAGCGUACCGGCUCCACACUGACGCUGAGGCACGAAAGCGUGGGUAUCGAACAGGAUUAGAUACCCCUGUAGUC
Molecule: ribosomal RNA, 459 nt
Filed under: uncultured bacterium
Lineage: Bacteria
Description: partial 16S ribosomal RNA
Rfam family: Bacterial small subunit ribosomal RNA
Source: RNAcentral